UCGACCAACUAUAUUAAACAGUGGUAGCCACCCAUCAGAAGUUGUUGUCACCCAAGGAAAUGAAAUUUCUUUGCAGUGCAAGGUACAGGGCAUUCCAGAACCAACAAUAACGUGGAUGAAGGAUGGCCGUCUGCUGUUCCUCCAAGUAUUGCUGGUGACCUGCAGAUGCCUGAAAACAUCAGCAUUGUGGAGAAGAAUCCCAUCUCUCUGGUUUGUGAAGCUUCAGGAAUUCCCUUGCCGUCAAUAACGUGGCUCAAAAAUGGAUGGCCAGUCGCUUUGAACAACUCGGUGCGAAUCCUCUCAGGGGGCAGAACACUCCGUUUGACACACACGAGUGUAGCAGAUGAAGGUCAAUAUACUUGUGUAGUGACCAAUGCUGCAGGAGAAGCGAGGAAGGAUUUUGACCUUUCUGUUCUAG
This is a non-coding RNA of Pelecanus crispus (Dalmatian pelican), 418 nucleotides long. The record is from RefSeq and is a predicted model, not a curated record. NCBI's taxonomy places the organism in Eukaryota, Metazoa, Chordata, Aves, Pelecaniformes, Pelecanidae.